RNAcentral lists this ribosomal RNA (301 nucleotides) under uncultured bacterium. RNAcentral describes it as "partial 16S ribosomal RNA". It matches the Rfam family "Bacterial small subunit ribosomal RNA", at positions 509 to 809 of the family's 1533-position model. The record is from RNAcentral.
CAGCAGCCGCGGGAAUACGGAGGGGGCUAGCGUUGUUCGGGAUUACUGGGCGUAAAGCGCACGUAGGCGGCUUGGUAAGUUAGAGGUGAAAGCCUGGAGCUCAACUCCUGAAUUGCCUUUAAGACUGCCGAGCUAGCAGGUGAGAGAGGUAAGUGGAAUUCCGAGUGUAGAGGUGAAAUUCGUAGAUAUUCGGAAGAACACCAGUGGCGGAGGCGGCUUACUGGCUCAUACUGGACGCUGAGGUGCGAAAGCGUGGGGAGCAAACAGGAUUAGAUACCCGGGUAGUCCCUGUCUCUUAUAA